Non-coding RNA from Hordeum vulgare subsp. vulgare (domesticated barley), 113 nucleotides. The record is from Rfam. NCBI's taxonomy places the organism in Eukaryota, Viridiplantae, Streptophyta, Magnoliopsida, Poales, Poaceae.
UAACUACUCCCUCCGUCCGAAAAUACUUGUCUGUAUCUAGACUUAUUUUAGUUAUAGAUACAUCCAUUAUAUCCAUUUCUAGGACAAGUAUUUCCCGACGGAGGGAGUAUAUU